Molecule: ribosomal RNA, 586 nt
Filed under: uncultured bacterium
Lineage: Bacteria
Description: bacterial SSU rRNA
Rfam family: Bacterial small subunit ribosomal RNA
Source: RNAcentral
AACGCUGGCGGCGUGCCUAACACAUGCAAGUCGAGCGGUAACAGGUGUAGCAAUACAUGCUGACGAGCGGCGAACGGGUGAGUAAUGUUUCGGAAUCUGCCCAAUGGUGGGGAAUAACCAGCCGAAAGGUUGGCUAAUACCGCAUAAGCCCUACGGGGGAAAGCGGGGGAUCGCAAGACCUCGCGCCGAUGGAUGAGCCGAAACCGGAUUAGCUAGUUGGUAGGGUAACGGCCUACCAAGGCGACGAUCCGUAGCUGGUCUGAGAGGACGACCAGCCACACUGGGACUGAGACACGGCCCAGACUCCUACAGGAGGCAGCAGUGGGGAAUAUUGGACAAUGGGGGAAACCCUGAUCCAGCGACGCCGCGUGUGUGAAGAAGGCCUGCGGGUUGUAAAGCACUUUUAGUGGGGAUGAAAAGCUCAGGGCUAAUACCGCUGAGUCUUGACCUAACCCAAAGAAAAAGCACCGGCUAACUCUGUGCCAGCAGCCGCGGUAAUACAGAGGGUGCAAGCGUUAAUCGGAAUUACUGGGCGUAAAGCGUGCGUAGACGGUUAUGUAAGUCGGGUGUGAAAGCCCCGGGCUCA